ACCACAUCCACCUAGAGGAGCCUGUCCUAUAAUCGAUAAUCCUCGCUUAACCUCACCAUUUCUAGUUAUCAGCCUGUAUACCUCCGUCGCCAGCUUACCACGUGAGCGCCAAUUAGUGAGCCCAAUGUUUUUCACCAAUACGUCAGGUCAAGGUGCAGKRGGAUGAAACGGAAAGAGAUGGGCUACACUUUCUACUUUAGAAGAAACGGAAAACUAUCUAUGAAACCUAGUUAGAAGGCGGAUUUAGCAGUAAAAAGGGAUCAGAAUACCCAUUUUAACCCGGCACUGGGGUGUGUACACACCGCCCGUCACCCUCUUCAAAGCCCCAACAAGUAUGAACUAAUCAAGGCAUAACAGAAAAGGCAAGUCGUAACAUGGUAAGUAUACCGGAANGUGUGCUUGGAAACBUAWUAUAGCUUAACUAAAK
This 427-nucleotide ribosomal RNA is filed under the name Rhinella rostrata (Mesopotamia beaked toad). RNAcentral describes it as "partial 12S ribosomal RNA". It matches the Rfam family "Bacterial small subunit ribosomal RNA", at positions 918 to 1533 of the family's 1533-position model. Lineage: Eukaryota; Metazoa; Chordata; Amphibia; Anura; Bufonidae. The record is from RNAcentral.